GAUGAACGCUGGCGGCGUGCCUAAUACAUGCAAGUCGAGCGAACAGACGAGGAGCUUGCUCCUCUGACGUUAGCGGCGGACGGGUGAGUAACACGUGGAUAACCUACCUAUAAGACUGGGAUAACUUCGGGAAACCGGAGCUAAUACCGGAUAAUAUAUUGAACCGCAUGGUUCAAUAGUGAAAGACGGUUUUGCUGUCACUUAUAGAUGGAUCCGCGCCGCAUUAGCUAGUUGGUAAGGUAACGGCUUACCAAGGCAACGAUGCGUAGCCGACCUGAGAGGGUGAUAGGCCACACUGGAACUGAGACACGGUCCAGACUCCUACGGGAGGCAGCAGUAGGGAAUCGUACGCAGAGGGCGAAAGCAUGACGGAGCAACGCCGAGUGAGUGAUGAAGGUCUUCGGAUCGUAAAACUCUGUUAUUAGGGAAGAACAAAUGUGUAAGUAAAUAUACACGUCUUGACGGUACCUAAUCAGAAAGCCACGGCUAACUACGUG
RNAcentral lists this ribosomal RNA (497 nucleotides) under uncultured bacterium. RNAcentral describes it as "partial 16S ribosomal RNA". It matches the Rfam family "Bacterial small subunit ribosomal RNA", at positions 28 to 507 of the family's 1533-position model. The record is from RNAcentral.